RNAcentral lists this ribosomal RNA (497 nucleotides) under uncultured bacterium. Its description in RNAcentral is "partial 16S ribosomal RNA". It matches the Rfam family "Bacterial small subunit ribosomal RNA", at positions 28 to 507 of the family's 1533-position model. The record is from RNAcentral.
GAUGAACGCUGGCGGCGUGCCUAAUACAUGCAAGUCGAGCGAACAGACGAGGAGCUUGCUCCUCUGACGUUAGCGGCGGACGGGUGAGUAACACGUGGAUAACCUACCUAUAAGACUGGGAUAACUUCGGGAAACCGGAGCUAAUACCGGAUAAUAUAUUGAACCGCAUGGUUCAAUAGUGAAAGACGGUUUUGCUGUCACUUAUAGCUGGAUCCGCGCCGCAUUAGCUAGUUGGUAAGGUAACGGCUUACCAAGGCAACGAUGCGUGGCCGACCUGAGAGGGUGAACGGCCACACUGGAACUGAGACGCGGUCCAGACUCCUACGGGAGGCAGCAGUAGGGAAUCUUCCGCAAUGGGCGAAAGCCUGACGGAGCAACGCCGCGUGAGUGAUGAAGGUCUUCGGAGCGUAAAACUCUGUUAUUAGGGAAGAACAAAUGUGUAAGUAACUAUGCACGUCUUGACGGUACCUAAUCAGAAAGCCACGGCUAACUACGUG